Molecule: ribosomal RNA, 253 nt
Filed under: uncultured bacterium
Lineage: Bacteria
Description: partial 16S ribosomal RNA
Rfam family: Bacterial small subunit ribosomal RNA
Source: RNAcentral
UACGUAGGGUGCGAGCGUUAUUCGGAAUUACUGGGCGUAAAGCGUGCGUAGGCGGUUCGUUAAGUUCGUUGUGAAAGCCCCGGGCUCAACCUGGGAAUGGCAAUGGAAACUGGCGGGCUGGAGUAUGGCAGAGGGGAGUGGAAUUCCGCGUGUAGCAGUGAAAUGCGUAGAGAUGCGGAGGAACACCGAUGGCGAAGGCAGCCCCCUGGGCCAAUACUGACGCUGAGGCACGAAAGCGUGGGGAGCAAACAGG